RNAcentral lists this ribosomal RNA (253 nucleotides) under uncultured bacterium. Its description in RNAcentral is "partial 16S ribosomal RNA". It matches the Rfam family "Bacterial small subunit ribosomal RNA", at positions 524 to 776 of the family's 1533-position model. The record is from RNAcentral.
UACAGAGGGUGCAAGCGUUGUUCGGAAUUACUGGGCGUAAAGGGCGCGUAGGCGGCCUGCUAAGUCGAACGUGAAAUCCCCGGGCUCAACCCGGGAACUGCGUCCGAUACUGGCAGGCUUGAAUCCGGGAGAGGGAUGCGGAAUUCCAGGUGUAGCGGUGAAAUGCGUAGAUAUCUGGAGGAACACCGGUGGCGAAGGCGGCAUCCUGGACCGGCAUUGACGCUGAGGCGCGAAAGCCAGGGGAGCAAACGGG